GAAAAUCCUCAGAAAAAUCGCAACGAUUUCCGUUCAAAUUCGUGACCCCUGCUCCGCGAAAUUCCCUGUAUAUAAUCCCCCGCAUCAGCCCCUCUCCGUUUUUCCAAAAUCGCAAACCGUAGACCACCCAAGAGCUCGUUCCGAUCUCGCCGGAGUUCGUCGCUGCGAACUUGAAGUCGAGGAUCACGGAAACGACCAGUCAACGACACCGGAGUUUCGCCGGACUUCAUCGUUCCUAGCCGGAGUUAGGCGCCGUUCGGAAGUAGGAGAGCAGCUGACGAGGACGAAGAAGGAGAUCUCUCGUCAAGCCACACCUCGCCGUCACCUUCGUCGAGCCGGGAGACCACCACACCAUCUCCAUCCACGCCCGGCCGCCACGUCCGUUCUCAUCCACCACCGAUUUAUUCGGAGUGCGGAAAAGUUCACGAAGAAG
This is a long non-coding RNA of Lolium rigidum, 433 nucleotides long. RefSeq lists it as uncharacterized. The transcript has 3 exons. Lineage: Eukaryota; Viridiplantae; Streptophyta; Magnoliopsida; Poales; Poaceae. The record is from RefSeq and is a predicted model, not a curated record.